UACAGAGGGGGCGAGCGUUGUUCGGAAUUACUGGGCGUAAAGAGCGCGCAGGCGGUCGUUCAAGUCGAGUGUGAAAGCCCCCGGCUCAACUGGGGAGGGUCACGCGAUACUGAUCGACUCGAAGGCAGGAGAGGGAAGUGGAAUUCCCGGUGUAGUGGUGAAAUGCGUAGAUAUCGGGAGGAACACCAGUGGCGAAGGCGACUUCCUGGCCUGUUCUUGACGCUGAGGCGCGAAAGCUAGGGUAGCAAACGGG
RNAcentral lists this ribosomal RNA (253 nucleotides) under uncultured bacterium. Its description in RNAcentral is "partial 16S ribosomal RNA". It matches the Rfam family "Bacterial small subunit ribosomal RNA", at positions 524 to 776 of the family's 1533-position model. The record is from RNAcentral.